AUCUUUGACAUGGCAUUGAGCGUCCCCACAUAACAACUGACCAAACAGAGGCUCAGAGGGGUUGGUUACUUGCCAACAAGUUGGCUGCUUGUUGGUUAGGUUGCCCAGUCAAGGUGGGGGUGUCAUCUCAUGAGAGGAGGCCCUGAGGUUGGCCCAGGAAGGCAACUAACUCAAUCCUGAAUCAAGGACGGCUUCCUGGAGGAGGUGACGCUGACCUGAGCGUGAAAGGGAGAGGAAGGGCUGGCUUGGUCCCAAAAGGCUGGAGCUUCGCAAAGCAGGGAAACAGCAUGGACCUCAGGCUGCUGGGGGUGGAAGGGUGCACAUGGGGGAACCAAAUAACCAGCAAGACCCAAUCCCUCCUUCUCAGAAGACAGGCACCCCCUCCAAGGGACUGGGAGGCCCAGGGGUCCCAGGCCCCCUGCACAUCUGAUACUAGCAGUAAUGACUCAUCAUCCCGGGCACCUGUGGGGCUAAAGGUUUCCCAUGUAACUCUCCCCAGCAUACUCACAAGCUUUAUGAGCUGAGCACUAUUCUCCUCCCUCUUUCCCUGGAAAGAGGCCCGGAGAGGUAAAGUCACUGCCUCCAGGCCCCGCAGCAGGCUAGUGGCCAAGCCCAGGUUGUCCAGCUCUGCAGCCCCGCCCCCGUGGAAUCAUGAGUCUCCCUGUCCUCCCAGGCGACAGUACGCCGGGACAGACAGACACACACCAACUUUCUAAUGGCGUGGACGAGUCUCCGCUGGAGGAGACGGUGGCUCAGCUGACGGCAGCCAGCCCCACCUCCCGGAGGUUGGUAUCACCUCCAGGCACUGACCGCGCCGUGUCCGCCGUCCGCAGUCGUAACUUUUCCUUCGUAAGUCUUGGCCCUGAACCUGUAGGUGCGUCAGAGGAAAGCAGAGACUGACAACGCUGUCUUGGCAGGGCGGGCAGCCCUGGGGCCAGGCGGGGACCUGGCUCUCGAGGCCGUCACACGCACCCCUCCACGCUCCCUGCCUGGUGAGGGCCUGGGGGCUGGCAGGCGGGGCUCUCAGCCUGCGGGUGGGCCCUGCCCAGACCUGUCUCCACCAGCCUGCUGGAAUGUAGAGCCUGGGUCGGCCAGGAGGCCAAGGUGUGGUGGGCGAGUCCUGCUCAGGGUGGGGAGGGGGUGUCCAGUGGGGGGCGCUGGACGGGGUUGGUAAUGGAAUAGGUGGCAGCUGUGUUUGAACCCCUGGUGCUCAGCUUCCUACCUGGGAAAUUCUGGGCCUCUCAGAGCCUCAGUUUCCCCAUCUGUGAAAUGGGAAUUCGGACGCCAACCGCACGGUGUUGGGUUAUACUGAAAUGAGAGAGUUUGAAAAACAACCAGCAUGCAUCAGUUAGAUCUCAAGAAAGGUGGAACUUAAUUAAUUUGAAAAUUAUAAUAAAUAAAGAGAAAAGCAACUAGCUAGCGCCAGGCAUGUGGUGGGUGCCCUGCAUACUGGCUUCCACCCCUGCGUGAACCUAGAUGGCUUUCCAACCUCACUCAGGAUUCCGUCCUGACUGGUGGGAAUCACAGCUGAUAGGGUUUGAACCGUGGUGUUGGAGAAGACUCAAGAGAGUCCCUUGGACUGCAAGGAGAUCCAACCAGUCCAUCCUAAAGGAGAUCAGUCCUGAAUAUUCCUGGAAGGACUGAUGCUGAAGCUGAAGAAGCCCCAAUACUUUGGCCACCCGAUGCGAAGAGCCGACUCAUUGGAAAAACCCUGAUGCUGGGAAAGAUUGAAGGCGGGAGGAGAAGGGGACGACAGAGGAUGAGAUGGUUGGAUGGCAUCACUGACUCGAUGGACAUGAGUUUGGGCAAGCUCUGGGAGUUGGUGACGGACAGGCAGGCCUGGUGUGCUGCAGUCCGUGGGGUUGCAGAGAGUCGGACACGACUGAGCGACUGAACGACAAUGACGACUUACUAUCUAUCCCCCUCCAGCUUCCCGUCUGUGCUCAGACUCUGCACUCCUAAAGUCCCUCUGGCCCCUGGGCCCUCAGACCUCACCUGCUGUUUCUGGAACCGUCCAGACAGUGAGCCCUCAAGGGCAGGGCCCACAUGCAUCACGGGCAUCGGCGCGUCCACGGUGCUUCCUGGGCCCCGGUACACAGGAGGUGCUCAGGAAAUGCUCAACGAAAGGUCACAUGGCAUCACCUUCGAUGGCCAAGACGCAGCAGGUCUCAGCGCUGGGGGCCUGGAGACUCACUUGGUGUGGCUCGAGGGUGACGGGGCCCAACGGCUGUGACGGCCGGAACAGCGCGUCAGCGGCCACACCGUGCGGCCUGGGAGUCCUCACGUUCUGGGCAUCUGAUUUAUCUGGGCCCAGCUGGCAAAAGGAAAGAGGAACGAGAACCCAGGCCCUGCAGGGAGAUCUUCAAGGUCACUAACACCUAGAGCUUUGAACUGGGGAUAUCUCCAGCACAGACAGAAAGCUUCCCCCAGCUUCUCAGGUGCUUUGCUGACAAGACUCCCACGGCGGUCAGAGCCGCACUGCCUACCGAAGCCCCAGCUCUACUACACCUUCCGUUGCACGGGCUCAUCUUGUGACAUGGCCCUGACACUCCUCUGUUUGAAGGGUAAAGUCCACGUGUUCUCUUCCCUUAAGUCUGUGGCAAAGACAGAACAACGCCGACCAGCUUCCAGGGCAGGUCGUAACGGCAAGGCGCCGUCCCCCUGGUUCUUCCGGGACACUUAUUCUUGGAACCCAGCCGCCAAACUCUCAGGAAGCCCAGGUAAUCUGUGGAGACCCACGUGGGGAAACUCAAAGGUUCCUGCCAGCUGAGCCGAAGGAUGACCUGGAGUUGACCAGCAGGGAGGAGGGGGAAAGGGUAUCCAGCAGAAAAGCGGAACAGCAUGUGCAAAGGCUCAGAGGCAGGAGAGAGCUUAGAGCACCUGGGCAGGGCCAAGAGGUGCCGGGUGGGGGCGGGGGCACACAGCGGAGGCCAGAGGUGAGGGACAGCCUGUGGGCAGGCCCGAGAGGACGCUGGAGGCUGGCUGAGCUGGGGGCCUGGGCAGCUAGAGCGGAGGGUAACAGAUGAUGGCUGUGCUUUGGAACUUCAGCUAGGUGGGCGGUGCACUCAAGGGGCUGAGCCUGCAGGGGGGUGGGAGGAAUGAGGUCCCCUGGGCCCCUGGACUAGGGUGUUGGCAGUGGGGAUGGAGGGAGAGCUUUGUGGGGGGUUGGUACCCAGUGGGUCUCUCGGCCAGGCUCACUGUGUUACUGGAGCUGGUAUGCUGGCUGGGGGGAGGGGACAGGAGUGCAUCGUGGGUAGCCAGCCUCUGACCUAUAGGAUGACCGCCUGGGGUCAGUCUCUGACAGCAGGACCACGACGGGGUCAGAGCUGGAGGCCACGUGGGGUGUGAAUCCCAGGGGCCUGCAGUCCAGACUCCGCAUCACCAUCAAGCUGACAACAACAACGACAGUCCUUACCAAGGGCCUCCUGCACGCCAGACACUGGCGAAGAGUGUGGCAUCCUCUCUUGUGGUCUUCUAUGAAUAUGAGGAAGGUGCCCAUUUUACAGAUGGGGAAACUGAGACUCGCAGGUAAGGUAAGCCACCAUCCCAAGGCCUCUCAGUUGGGAAACAGCAGAAGCAGGACGGGACGUUGGCGUCUUCCUGGAGGCUGUGGAAUCUGCCCGCCUCGGGGAUGAGCCACCAGGUCCGGCAUUUGCGGAUUUUGGAGGAGCCUUGGGUGGGAGGCUGCGGGGUCAGAGAUAUCUCACUGGAAUGUCAGAAGGAAUGGGCCUGAGUCAAAGUCUGCUCAAGCCAAAUUCCCCAGAUUUGGUCUGAAGAAAUCCUCCCACUGCUCACACAGGAAUAAAAGGUCGGGGAGUCAGGCCUGUGCUCAGCUGUGACGGGCAAGGGGCCGAAGCCAGGUCUGGGGGUUUCGGGCCGGCCUCCGUCCCAGGACCUGCUCCUGGAAGAAGCUCUACCCCAGCCCCUGCUGCCUCCGUGCUGACUCCGGAGGGAGGGGCAGCUUUCCGGAAGUCCUCAGCCUGGGGUCUGGGCUUGAAUGAUGACCUUGUCCCUGGGGGGCUUUGGGGCUGUGGGUUACCGUCUCGUGGGCUCUGUCUCUCCCUGGGCACGUGCGACCAUCUUCCAGACCUGUCCUGCCAACCCGGCUGCCUGGCUGAUCUACCGGGGAGCCUUAUAAAAACUAACGCCCAGGGACAUCCCUGCCGGCCGGGUGGCUAAGACUCUGUAAUCCCACGGCAGGGGUACCUGUGUUCCACCCCUGGUCAGGGAACUAGACUCCACAUGCCGCAACUAAGACCGAAGUUCCCGUGUGUUACCACCAACACUCUGCACAGCCAAAGAAAAAAAAAAUAAAAACCCAGAAAACCCAACAGCAGCAACGGACACCCAGGCCACAAGCCAGAAGCAGCACCGCCGAAGUUCCUCAUCUGAUCCCGACACGCGGCCGGUGCCGAGAACAGCCGUGUUGAGCAUUGCCUUUGGGAUCACAUAUGUGUGGGCUCAACUCCUGACUCUGCUUGUGUGCUAGGUGACCCUGGGCGCAUGUGGUAACCUCUCUGAGCCUCAGUCUCCUCCUUCUAUCAGGAGGGACACUCUUGUCAUGGGCCUGAAGGGAUUAAAGCAUUUAAUUUGGGUCCAUCGCUUGGAACUUAGAGCUCAAAAGGGAAAAAAAAAAAGGCACCCAAAUUCAUCCUGCUCACAGCAACAUUGACCUUGCCGAGUGGAAGGGGACACUCUGAUUCGGGGUUUCAAAGGAGCAUGUCCAAAAGGGACUUCUGGAACCGAGCUCGGAGGCUGGCACCGUUACGCUGAAGUCCCGUCACAACCAGACAUGCUUGAUGUUUUCCUCCUUGAGGACCCUGAAGCGCAUGCCAGUGUCGCUGACAUGGGCGGUGAAUUCCAGGGCUACGUGGGCUUUCUGUCUGGAAUCAGCGGAUCCUGCAGUGCUUGACCCAGGGAUGUUUCGUCAGAGCAGGGCUGCGGCUUCGACAGCUAGUCAGAGCCCCCUCUGCCCUGCCGCGUCCCUGCAGCACCCCUCUUGGGCCACAGGAUGGAGCAGGGGCUGGGAGAGCAGCCCCCGCCCUGGCCGGGGACACACACACACUGCGUGCCUCGGCGUGUCACCCAUGCCUUGACGGAGCAGCCCGGGUCUGGCGCUCUCUGCUAGCCACAUUCUGUUCUGAACGUGUUACAUGCCUUGCCUCAUUUGCGCCUCAAAACCACCUUAUGAGGUGAGCGGCGUUAGGCUCCGUUUUGCAGAUGGGGAAACCGAGGCGCAGAGCAGCCAAGCAAGCUCCGUGUCCAAACCCCCCCCCACGGUAAGUGGCAGAGGCAAGGCCUGAGUCCAGGCCGGCCAGCCCCAUGAAGCUCAUGUUCGAGGGCUCCCCUGAGCUGUCUGCCAUCAGGGGGCUCCACACAGGAGGAGGCUGAGAUCUGGGGGUUUGCAGCCCCAGGGCCACGGGCCAGCCACACCCUGAACUGGGCCUGGCUAACGUCAAGGCCUGGCUUUGAUCUGGUGUCUGUUUUACAUACAGUGUGCGUCUUUGUCUGCCCCAGUCUCCCGUUUAUCCCUUGCCCCUAGCCCCUCACUUUCCCCCCAGUCAUCCUAAGUUUGCUUUCUAUACCUGUAGUUCCAUUUCUAUUUUGUAAAUAAGUUCAUUUGUACCAUAUUUUUAGAUUCUACAUAAAGAUCAACCGUACAGCAUAAGGAACUCUUCUCAAUAUUCUGUAAAGACCUACACAGGAAAAAAUUAAAAAAAAAGAACCUAUGUAUAUCCACUUUGUUGUACAGUAUAAACUAACACCACAUUGUAAAGCAACUAUACUACAAAAAAAACCUUCCUUUAUCCUUUCAUUCACUUCCUUGUUUGUUCAUUCACUCUCUCUCUCUCAUCAACAGUUUUGGAGCACCUACGGUAUACCUGGCCUUGGUCUGGGUGCCAGGGAGACAGAGACGAGACAGGCCCUCUGUCCCCGAGGCCGUCCCAGGCAGUGGGGCAGACUAACAAGCAAUCUCCCUGGAGUUUGGAGAAGACAGAGGCUGAGAGCGCAUCCCUGAGGAGGUGGGCAUCACCCAGCUUUCAGCUGGGUAUCAAGGAUGAAUAGGAAUUCACCAGUGAGGCGGAAGGUAGAUGGGUCCCAGGCUGGGCAGCCAAACUAGCAGGAGUGAGAAAGGAGCUGAGCGCUGCCCAGAUAAGAGAGAAAAUACCACAUGUUCCUCAUUCCCAAGGUCAAGGAGACCUUCCUAACUACGCAUGCACAGAACAGCUCCUUGGAGGUCAAAACAGCAGGGGCAUCACCUCAGAGUAAGUGACGUCAGCCUUCUCGCUAGAGUCCAUCUUGGCUCCGAGACAGGCAGAUGCACAUGGGAGGACGCUGAGAUGGACCAAACCCAGGCUCAGAACCGGGUGAAGCAAGGUGACUGCCCAAAGGAAACCCCGGAAGAAAGGCCCCAGAAAAGUGAUCCGAGCCACCAUGAGGGCGUGACUCUCCCUCUGAGCCUGCCCGUGCGUCUGUCCACACGCACACUUUUUCCUCCUAAUAAACGCUGGACUUGC
Dama dama (fallow deer) is the source of this 6518-nucleotide RNA transcript. RefSeq lists it as uncharacterized. The record is from RefSeq and is a predicted model, not a curated record. The transcript has 5 exons. NCBI's taxonomy places the organism in Eukaryota, Metazoa, Chordata, Mammalia, Artiodactyla, Cervidae.